CCUACGGGAGGCAGCAGUGAGGAAUAUUGGUCAAUGGACGCAAGUCUGAACCAGCCAUGCCGCGUGCAGGAAGACGGCUCUAUGAGUUGUAAACUGCUUUUGUACGAGGGUAAACGCAGAUACGCGUAUCUUUCUGAAAGUAUCGUACGAAUAAGGAUCGGCUAACUCCGUGCCAGCAGCCGCGGUAAUACGGAGGAUUCAAGCGUUAUCCGGAUUUAUUGGGUUUAAAGGGUGCGUAGGUGGUCGGAUAAGUUAGAGGUGAAAUCGCGGGGCUCAACUUCGGAAUUGCCUGUGAUACUGUUAGGCUAGAGAGCAGUUGAGGUAGGCGGAAUGUAUGGCGUAGCGGUGAAAUGCUUAGAGAUCAUAAAGAACACCGAUUGCGAAGGCAGCUUACCAAGCUACUACUGACGUUGAGGCACGAAAGCGUGGGGAGCAAACAGGAUUAGAUACCCCUGUAGUC
RNAcentral lists this ribosomal RNA (460 nucleotides) under uncultured bacterium. RNAcentral's name for it is "partial 16S ribosomal RNA". It matches the Rfam family "Bacterial small subunit ribosomal RNA", at positions 338 to 795 of the family's 1533-position model. The record is from RNAcentral.